Long non-coding RNA from Meriones unguiculatus (Mongolian gerbil), 2844 nucleotides. RefSeq lists it as uncharacterized. The transcript has 3 exons. Lineage: Eukaryota; Metazoa; Chordata; Mammalia; Rodentia; Muridae. The record is from RefSeq and is a predicted model, not a curated record.
UCAGCUCUUUCUCUAGCAUGAUGCUGCCACGUUUUCUGCCAUGACAAUAAUGGACUAAACCUCUGAACUGUAAGACAGCCCCAAGUAAAUGUUUUUCUGUUUAAGAGUUGCCAUGGUCGUGGUGUCUCUUCACAGCAAUAAAACCCUACCUAAGACAAAAGUUGUACCAGGAACUGGGGUAUUGCUGGGACAGGCCUGACCAUGCUUUCGUUUGGAGGAAUGUGGACUUUGGGAUUUUGGAUUACAAAAGCAGUGGAAUGCUUUAAGUGGGGCUUAAUGGGCCAUCCUAGUAUAAGCAGGGCAGACAGUGGUGCCGAGGGUGAUCUAACUGUGGGGGCAUGGCUCCUGAGCUUUCAGAGGAGAAGAAUUUUAGUGUGCUGCCUAGAGAUCAUUCUUGUGAUAUUUUGGUCAAGAAUGUGGCUGCCUUUCUGUUGUUGUUGUUGUUUUUGAUUUUCAAGACAAGAGUUUCUCUGUGUAGCUCUGGCUGUCCUGGAACUUUGUAGACCAGGAUGGUCUGGAACUUAGAAAUCUGCCUGCCUCAGAAAUCUCCUGAGCACUGGGAUUAAAGACAUUAAUUCCACCACUGCCCAGCCUACAUGGCUGCUUUUUGCCCUUGUCAGAGAGUCUGCCUGAGGCUAACAUGAAGAUAUUUGGAUUAAUUUCAUUGGCAAAGGAAAUCUAAAAACAGCCCAGUAUUGACUCUGCUCUGUGUUUAUUAGUGGUUACUCUUAUACAGAUCUAUAAUGAGAAGCAGCAUGCUGAGGAAAAAAAAAAAUCCAAAACCUUCUCUUCUUUGAGAAGAGAGUGAACACCAGGAAAUGGAAUGGAGCUAAGUCCUGUGUUCGAGGAGAAUAGCAAGGCUUCACCCAGGUAAUCAUCCAACUUUUGAAAAGGAAUUAAAGAAAAGUGAAAGGAACUACAGAAAAGUUUAGGGCUGGGUGGGGCUGUACAUGCUCUUAACCCCAUCACUAAAGAAGCAGAGGCAAGAUGAUCUCCGAGUUCAAGGGCUGAUCUACAGAUCAGAGUUCCAGGACAGCCAAGCUUAGGCCGUGAAGAAAACCAUGAAGAACAGAGAGCUGGUGAAGAUGGAAUUGGAUGAGGGGCCAUGUUCCAGCCUCAGCAAGCAGCAUAACUUGGCAGCUUCUGCCAUGUGGUUCUGGCUUUAGAGUCAAGGACAGAAGAGAGGGGCUACAGAAUCUCCCUCUGUGACUAAAGGAAAGCUGCUGAGGCCAGGUCUGCUGCAGAGGUGUCUCCUCGUGAAGGCCCAGAGAGGCCAUUGUGUAAAGCUGUGAAGCUGAAGUCUGGAUUGCCUUGGAGACCCCAAAAUGUUAGAAAAGCCAUGGCUUUGAGAUACUUGCUUGGAGAGCUGCUAACAGGGAGUAGAACCAGCCUGAAAAAAAAAGACGUGUGCUGCCGUCAACAAAGCUGAAAGGAGUUGGGGAUGUCAAGAGGUCUUGGACAUCAGACAUGAAGAUGCAGAGCCUGGAGUUUGCCCAGGUUGGUUUUGGUCUUGCUUUGGUCCAGUAUUUCUUCAUUAUCCUCCAUUUCCUAUCCUUUGGAAUGGUAGUAUAUAUUCUGUGCCAUUAUUAUAUGUUGGAAGCAUGUGAUCUGCUUUCGGGCCAUGGGGACUUUUGAAGUUGGACUGAUUCCAUUUCUGCAUUAUGAUAUGGAUACAAGCCCAUGGGGGCCAGGGAGUGGAACGUGGUGGAUUGACUAGGACUGGCUCCCAUAGACCCAUGCGUGUGGGUGCUUGGCCCAUAGGCAGUGACACUAUUAGGAGGCGUAACCUUGUUGGAGUCGGUGUGGCCUUGCUGGAGGAAGGGAGCCACCGUGGAAUGGAGUAACACACCCAGUGUGGCUCACAGUCUUUUUCUGCUGCCUGCGAGUCAAGAUGUAGAAUUCUCAGCUUUCUCCAGUAUGCCUACCUCUAUGCCACCACAAUGGACUAAACCACGGAAUUGUAAACCAGCCCCAAUGAAAUAUUUUUCUUUAUAGAAGUUACCGUGGUCAUGGUGUCUCUUCAGAGCAAUAACACCCAACCUAAGACAACAUCCGUGAUUGGGACUCUGUGCAUCAUCCCGGGUGAUGACACUCAGCACCCUUUACUGCCCAUAGCAGUAAAGGAUUCUUUACUUUGGAUUCUGGGAAGAAUAAAGGCCACAGGAACUCACAAACCCACCCUCCUCAUUUUGAAGAAGUAUUUGCAGGGCACCAUAACUUGACAAAAAUGUGUCACAUGAGUAAAUACAGCCUCUGGGCUUGUAUUUGACUCAGUGGUAGAGCAUUGCCUGAUAUGUUCUGGAUUGUGUGACAUUUGAAAUUCUGGAGUUUUCAGAGGGCAUCUAAAUGCUAGAUCCCCGAUUGGGAGUUUUUGGGUGGCUGGUGUUGUAACCUUGGCUGUCCUGGAGUUGCUGUGUAGACCAUAUUGGGAUCCGUAAGCAGGCCAGCCCCAAGAGACCUGAUAGACCGGAUAUCAGGCGUCUGUGAAGCCACCUAUGGACCACCUGGAACCACCUGCGAAUGCUCUGGGUCACUUUAUAAGAGAACUCGAAGCUCUCCCCCCCUCCCUCUCCCUCUCUCCCUCUCCCUCCUUCUCCCUUCCUCUCCCUCUCUCCCUCUCUCCCUCUCUCCCUCUCUCACUUUCCUGCCCUGCCCGGAGGUGGUCUCUGUGACCCCUUCCUCUUUCCCCUUCCCUUCCCCCUUCCCUCAAUAAGCCUCCCACUUGGAACCAGUCACAUGGCAUGAUUUGUGAACUCGCUGUGUAACUGUUGUACAGUCCUAACAGACUAGGCUAGCCAGGACCUCACACAUAUCUGCCUGCCUUUGCCUCCUGAGUUCUGAGAU